This 342-nucleotide ribosomal RNA is filed under the name Bullina lineata. Its description in RNAcentral is "partial 12S ribosomal RNA". Lineage: Eukaryota; Metazoa; Mollusca; Gastropoda; Bullinidae. The record is from RNAcentral.
UCUGAGCACAAAAUCGAAGCCUAAGUACUAAGACUAAAAUAGUUAAAACUUAAAAGACAUGGCGGCAGUUUUAACUUUUAGGGGAACUUACCAGAUAAAUGAUAACCCACAAGAAAAAUCACUUUUCUUCAAAGUUUGUAUACCGCCGUCUUCAGAACCUACUUAAGGCAGGCCCGAAAUUGCUUUUGUAAAAAGACAGGUCAAGGUGCAACCUAUAGAAAAGACUUGAGGUGAGUUACAAUAUUGACUUUUUUCGGAAGUUCUUUGUAAUAAAGAAACGCAAGAUGGACUUAAAAGUAAAGAAUAAUUUAGAAAUACUUCUUGAAUUUGUAACAACUGUGU